RNAcentral lists this non-coding RNA (876 nucleotides) under Pongo abelii (Sumatran orangutan). Lineage: Eukaryota; Metazoa; Chordata; Mammalia; Primates; Hominidae. The record is from RNAcentral.
AGCACAUAAGGUGUGACCUUUUCAUUCCCGUUGUCAUGGAGGGCCACAUCUGCCAGAGCCUGGAGUCUGCGAAGGCCGGGACCCGGUUCCCCGGCCCGCCGUGGGGAGUGUUGCAAAUUCGUGAAGAAUCAGCAGCAUGUUUGGCAGCUGAGUAUUGGAGCCAGGAGCCUGCCAUGAGGUUUUGAGAACAGGGUGCUGUUUUAGAGCUGGCAGCAGCAUCUCAGCCCAAGAGAAGGUUAUAUUCCCAGAGGAUGUCAGUCCCAAGGACCAGUAGCUGCCAUCAGUUUGGAUUCUGAAAACUAACCGGCAUCAACAUUGGGUGUAGAAACAUGCUUGCCUUGUGUAUCAGAGGACAUGCUCAGCAGAUCCAAGAGAUAUAUUUGGCAACUUUUUCUAGAAAAGGCACAUUAGGUAUCAUUCAUUACAUUCUUGAGUUUUUUUGGGGUUUUUUUUUUUUUUGAGACAGUCUUGCUGUGUUGCCCAGGCUGGAGUGUGGUGGCACAAUCACAGCUCAUUGCAGCCUCAAUCACCCAGGCCUAAGCAAUCCUCCCACCUUGUAGCUGGGACUACAGCUCACAGCACACCUGGCUAAAAUUUUUUUUUGUUGAGACGGAUUCUCUAUGUUGCUCAGGCUGGUCUCAAGCUCCUGGGCUUAGAUGGUCCUCCUGCCUCAGCUUCCAAAGGCACAGGCCAAGUUGUAGCUUUGUCCCUUGCCAUCAUGCCCAACAAGAGGUUCUAUACCUUUUAAUGAACUGACUUUCAUAAAUUGGUUAUGUUGGUGGGCAAGUUCUUUAAGCUGGAAAUUGUAAAUUCCUCCUGAAAUGUUUUUUCAUGCAGUUACCAUGAACUAAUACUACAAUAAAGGAUGGUCUUGGG